UAGGGAAUCUUCGGCAAUGGACGAAAGUCUGACCGAGCAACGCCGCGUGAGUGAAGAAGGUUUUCGGAUCGUAAAACUCUGUUGUUAGAGAAGAACAAGGACGUUAGUAACUGAACGUCCCCUGACGGUAUCUAACUAGAAAGCCACGGCUAACUACGUGCCAGCAGCCGCGGUAAUACGUAGGUGGCAAGCGUUGUCCGGAUUUAUUGGGCGUAAAGCGAGCGCAGGCGGUUUCUUAAGUCUGAUGUGAAAGCCCCCGGCUCAACCGGGGAGGGUCAUUGGAAACUGGGAGACAUGAGUGCAGAAGAGGAGAGUGGAAUUCCAUGUGUAGCGGUGAAAUGCGUAGAUAGAAGGAGGAACACCAGUGGCGAAGGCGGCUCUCUGGUCUGUAACUGACGCUGAGGCUCGAAAGCGUGGGGAGCAAACAGG
RNAcentral lists this ribosomal RNA (429 nucleotides) under Gemmatimonadota bacterium. RNAcentral describes it as "Gemmatimonadetes bacterium partial 16S ribosomal RNA". It matches the Rfam family "Bacterial small subunit ribosomal RNA", at positions 355 to 776 of the family's 1533-position model. Lineage: Bacteria; Pseudomonadati; Gemmatimonadota. The record is from RNAcentral.